CCCCCUCAAAUUAUACAUAUUUUGAUUUCAUAUUUUCCUAUUUGGUUAUUCUUAUUACUAAAUUUUUAAAAUUACUAAUAUUAUGGUCUCAGAUGCCGCCAUGCAGGCCUAGAAAACAUGUUUUGUUAAACAUUUCCCUUGGCCUUUCUGCACGUUGCCACCAGGGCCCGCCAAAGCAAGCAGCAGUACCCCCCAGAUAUUUAUCCCCCCCCCCCGAACGAGAAUAUGAAAACUGGUUAUAUUUCACAUUCAUGAAGUCUCGGCCCUCCACUGGUUAAGGACAAACGAGCAUAUUUCUGGAGCUUAUUGUUUGAUUACUGCUAUUUUACAUUGUCUUGUCUGGUCAACUUUAGACUUCAUGUCUUCAAUAUCCAACUGUAAUUUAUCAUGUCCAAUGGUACCACAUUGUUCCGUAAGGUUUAACACGCGAAGGUGUUCAUUUUCUCUCCAUUUUAAAAGCUUCUCAAAAGAAGACUCGAUAUUUCCAUUUUUCUUCAUUUGCUUUUUAUUGUGGUGCGGAGCAUCGGGAUAUUCUUUUCUCUUCAUUGAUAUAUGUAGCAACUUUUGCAACUCUCUUACGAUGUACGUCAAAAGGCUUUAGAGCUUUUCUUGUGCGAGGAAACGGUCUCAACAGCACCUUCGAAUGCCUGUCAAGUUUGAUCUCCUCUGAACCGUUUUCAGCUUAUGUCAACGUAUGUUGUUACUUAUCGUGUGUUGUAUUGUUCUAUUCGCUAUUGCCCAACAAGAAAUAUGUCAUUCAAAACCACUUUGCCUGGUAACCAAUCUUAAUCAAUGAUCUUAAUAUACUUCCACUUGAUCACCAUGUAUAUAGUCGCAUAUAAAACCCGACUUUUAUUGAAACCAGUUUGACUGUCUGCGCCAACUUGCAAUACGCUUAAAGUUAUUAUCGGUCAAAUAUUUAUUUGUGUACAUUUCGUACACAAGAA
This is a non-coding RNA of Paramuricea clavata, 947 nucleotides long. The record is from the annotation of a GenBank genome assembly. NCBI's taxonomy places the organism in Eukaryota, Metazoa, Cnidaria, Anthozoa, Malacalcyonacea, Plexauridae.